UCGAGAAUCUUCGGCAAUGAGCGCAAGCUUGACCGAGCGACGCCGCGUGCGGGAUGAAGGCCCUCGGGUUGUAAACCGCUGUCGUAGGGGAGGAAGUCGUGGGGGGUACUCCCCCCAUGUUGACCUAUCCUAGGAGGAAGGACGGGCUAAGUUCGUGCCAGCAGCCGCGGUAAUACGAACCGUCCAAACGUUAUUCGGAAUUACUGGGCUUAAAGGGUUCGUAGGCGGCCAUGUAAGUGGGGUGUGAAAUCCCUCGGCUCAACCGAGGAAUGGCGCUCCAAACUACACGGCUUGAGGGAGACAGGGGUAAGCGGAACUGAUGGUGGAGCGGUGAAAUGCGUUGAUAUCAUCAGGAACACCGGUGGCGAAAGCGGCUUACUGGGUCUCUUCUGACGCUGAGGAACGAAAGCUAGGGUAGCGAACGG
This 425-nucleotide ribosomal RNA is filed under the name uncultured bacterium. RNAcentral's name for it is "bacterial SSU rRNA". It matches the Rfam family "Bacterial small subunit ribosomal RNA", at positions 355 to 775 of the family's 1533-position model. The record is from RNAcentral.